This 75-nucleotide transfer RNA is filed under the name Candidatus Uhrbacteria bacterium. RNAcentral describes it as "tRNA-Gly". It matches the Rfam family "tRNA". From Rfam's summary of the family: Transfer RNA (tRNA) molecules are approximately 80 nucleotides in length. Their secondary structure includes four short double-helical elements and three loops (D, anti-codon, and T loops). The record is from RNAcentral. Lineage: Bacteria; Candidatus Uhriibacteriota.
GCGGGCAUCGUAUAAUGGUUAUUAUCUCAGUUUUCCAAACUGAUGACACGGGUUCGAUUCCCGUUGCCCGCUCCA